This is a long non-coding RNA of Scleropages formosus (Asian bonytongue), 3622 nucleotides long. Lineage: Eukaryota; Metazoa; Chordata; Actinopteri; Osteoglossiformes; Osteoglossidae. The record is from Ensembl.
GUUGUCGUUGCUGUAGCUGUUGACAUCGCGGCAGUGGUCGGCAUGGUGGUGGUUUCGGUUGUCAUGGGAGUUGUCGUUGCUGUAGUAGUUGACGUCGCGGUAGUGGUUGGAGCUGUUGUGCUUUGGGUUGUCGUGGGAUUUGUCAUUUCAGUAGUGGUUGACGUCGCGGCACUGGUCGGCAUGGUGGUGGUUCCGGUUGUCGUAGGAGUUGUAGUCGUUGCAGUAGUGGUUGACGUCGCGGCAGUGUUCGGCAUGGUGGUGGUUCCGGUUGUCGUGGGAGUGGUUGUCGUUUCAGUAGUAGUUGACAUCGUUGUACUUGUCAGGGUGGUGGUUGUUUCGGUUGUCGUGGGAGUUGUAGUCGUUGCAGUAGUAGUUGUCGUUUCAGUAGUAGUUGACAUCGUGGUACUUGUCAGGGUGGUGGUUGUUUCGGUUGUCGUGGGAGUUGUUGUCGUUGCUGUAGUAGUUGACGUCACGGUAGUGGUCGGAGCUGUUGUGCUUUGGGUUGUCGUGGGAGUUGUUGUCGUUGCUGUAGUAGUUGACGUCGCGGUAGUGGGUGAUGCCGCAGCAGUGGUCGCCGUGGUGGUGGUUUCGGUUGUCAUGGGAGUUGUGGUCAUUUCAGUAGUGGUUGACGUCGCGGCAGUGGUCGCCAUGGUGGUGGUUCCGGUUGUCGUGGGAGUUGCUGUCGUUGCUGUAGUAGUUGACGCAGAGGUAGUGGUCGGAGUGGUUGUGCUUUCGGUUGUUGUGGGAGUUGUAGUCGUUGCUGUAGCUGUUGACAUCGCGGCAGUGGUCGCCGUGGUGGUGGUUUCGGUUGUCAAGGGAGUUGUGGUCAUUUCAGUAGUGGUUGACGUCGCGGCAGUGGUCGGCAUGGUGGUGGUUUCGGUUGUCAUGGGAGUUGUUGUCGUUGCUGAAGUAGUUGACGUCGUGGUAGUGGUUGGAGCUGUUGUGCUUUGGGUUGUCGUGGGAGUUGUAGUCGUUGCAGUAGUAGUUGAAGUCGCGGCAGUGGUCGGCGUGGUUGUGCUUUCAGUUGUCGUGGGAGUUGUCAUUUCAGUAGUGGUUGACGUCGCGGCAGUGGUCAGCAUGGUGGUGGUUCCGGUUGUCGUAGGAGUUGUAGUCGUUGCAGUAGUGGUUGACGUCGCGGCAGUGGUCGGCAUGGUGGUGGUUCCGGUUGUCGUGGGAGUUGUAGUCGUUGCAGUAGUGGUUGACGUCGCGGCAGUGUUCGGCAUGGUGGUGGUUCCGGUUGUCGUGGGAGUUGUUGUCGUUUCAGUAGUUGUUGUCGUUUCAGUAGUUGUUGUCGUUUCAGUAGUAGUUGACAUCGCGGUAGUGGGUGAUGCCGCAGCAGUGGUCGGCGUGGUGGUGGUUCCGGUUGUCGUGGGAGUUGUAGUAGUUUCAGUAGAAGUUGACGUUGCAGUAGUGGUUGGUGUGGUUAUGCUUUCGGUUGUUGUGGGAGUUGUGGUCGUUUCAGUAGUGGUUGACGCAGAGGUAGUGGUCGGAGUGGUUGUGCUUUCGGUUGUUGUGGGAGUUGUAGUCGUUGCUGUAGUAGUUGACGUCGCGGUAGUGGGUGAUGCCGCAGCAGUGGUCGGCGUGGUGGUGGUUCCGGUUGUCGUGGGAGUUGUAGUAGUUUCAGUAGAAGUUGACGUUGCAGUAGUGGUUGGUGUGGUUAUGCUUUCGGUUGUUGUGGGAGUUGUAGUCGUUUCAGUAGUGGUUGACGUCGCGGUCGUGGUUGGAGUGUUUGUGGUUUCGGUUGUCGUGGGAGGUGUAAUCAUUUCAGUAGUGGUUGACGUCGCGGUAGUGGUCGGAGUGGUUGUGCUUUCGGUUGUUGUGGGAGUUGUAGUCAUUUCAGGAGUAGUUGACGUUGCGGUAGUGGUCGGAGUGGUUGUGCUUUCGGUUGUCGUUGGAGUAGUAGUCGUUUCAGUUGUAGUUGACGUUGCAGUAGUGGUUGGCGUGGUUAUGCUUUCGGUUAUCGUGGGAGUUGUUGUCCUUGCUGUAGUAGUUGACGUCGCAGAAGUGGUUGACGCUGCGGCAGUAGUCGGCGUGGUGGUGGUUUCAGUUCUCGUGGGAAUUGUAGUCGUUGCAGUAGUAGUUGACGUCGUGGAAGUGGUUGACGCCGCGGCAGUGGUCGGCGUGGUGGUUGUGCUUUCGAUUGUUGUGGGAGUUGUAGUAGUUGCAGUAGAAGUUGACGUCGCAGUAGUGGUUGGCGUGGUUAUGCUUUCAGUUGUCAUGGGAGUUGUCGUUUCAGUAGUGGUUGACGUCGUGGAAGUGGUUGACGCCGCAGCAGUAGUCAGCGUGGUGGUCGUUUCAGUAGUAGCUGAGGCCACGGUAGUGGUCGGCGUGGUUGUGCUUUCGGUUGUCAUGGGAGUUGUAGUCAUUUCAGUAAUAGUUGACGUCGCGGAAGUGGGUGACACCGCAGCAGUGGUCGGCGUGGUGGUGGUUUCGGUUGUCGUGGGAGUUGACGUCGUUUCAGAAGUAGUUGAAGUCGCGGUAGUGGUCGGCGUGGUGAUGCUUUCGGUUGUCGUGGGAGUUGUAGUCGUUGCAGUAGCUGUUGAUAUCGCGGCAGUGCUCAGCGUGGUGGUGGUUUCAGUUGUCGAGGGAGGUGUAGUCAUUUCAGUAGUAGUUGACGCAGAGGUAGUGGUCGGAGUGGUUGUGCUUUCGGUUGUUGUGGGAGUUGUAGUCGUUUCAGUAGUGGUUGACGUCGCGGUCGUGGUUGGAGUGUUUGUGGUUUCGGUUGUUGUGGGAGUUGUAGUCAUUUCAGGAGUAGUUGACGUUGCAGUAGUGGUCGGAGUGGUUGUGCUUUCGGUUGUCGUUGGAGUAGUAGUCGUUUCAGUUGUAGUUGACGUCGCAGUAGUGGUCGGCGUGGUUGUGCUUUCGGUUGUCGUUGUCAUUGUAAUCAUUUCUGUAGUACCUGAUGUCACUGUUGUGGUCGGAGUGGUUGUGUUUUCGGUUGCCGUUGGAGUUGUAGUCGUUUCGUUUGUAUUUUGGCCUUUUAUUGCUGUGGCUUGAGAGCAAUGUGCAAACAUUAGUUUUAAAUUUUAAUUUAAGCCUUUGUGCUUUUACAUUUUUCGAUGUAUACUUUAUACUAUGUUAAACCAUGUAGAAUUUGUUUAUCUUAGUCUUGAAGUUUAACAUUUUUUCAAAAUCUUUUUAUUGGAUAUCCUCAGUUCAGUAGAUUCCAGAUUGAUUCUAUAUAUUUUCCAUUUUGCUUAUUUAAUAAUAUGUUAAAUUUAUGUUCAUGAUGCUGAAGGUGUGAAUUGUUGAAGGAAUCAUUUCAUGGCUCUUUAUCCUUACCAGUCAAAAGAAAGAGUGCGAAUCUCCCCACCGUCCACAUAGUGGCAAGAAGUUCUCGUCACCUGCAAUGUGAACACUUUCUUUAGUAUUAAUACGAGUUCAGCGUGAAGAGCUCCAUGUUUAGUAUUUAUAUGAGUGCAGUGUCAAGUGCUCAGUGUUGACUAAUAGUAUGAUUACAGUGUUAAGGACUGUUUUCCUAUGCUUCAAAGCCAAUAAUUUGUGUUGUUUGUAUUUGUACAUUGAUCAAAUGUUAUUACUUCCCUAAGUAUUGUGUUCCAAUUUGAUAUGCUGACAGUACAUAAAGAUUGCACAAGCCAGGCGGUUUGUUAUAGAGUAAAUU